UUGGUGCAGGUAAGAGGCUGUGCAUAUUUUCCUCCACAUUGAGGGAGGAGGCAGAUUUUAUAAAAUACCUUUGGGUCUGCACUCCAAGGGAGGUGGACACCUGAGUGCUGGGGGAAAAACACUUCAGCAGAGCCUUCCC
Chelonia mydas (Green sea turtle) is the source of this 139-nucleotide long non-coding RNA. RefSeq lists it as uncharacterized. The transcript is spliced from 4 exons. The record is from RefSeq and is a predicted model, not a curated record. NCBI's taxonomy places the organism in Eukaryota, Metazoa, Chordata, Testudines, Cheloniidae.